CCCUGAUUGAUAUUGUCCUGAAGAAGGUUUUGAGGAAGGACAUUAUGGUAAAUUCCUUUUAUUGUUAUGGGUGAAGUUACAGUACCUCAUACAUCACAAAAUUGUGGUACAAUUCAACUGAUUUUCAAACCAGAUAUCUUUUUUGAUUUUUAGUUUAAUUCUUUCUAGGGCCUUCACAAAAUUAAGUAUUGGAACACUUGUUGGUAUAGGAUUUCCCCAGAAUACGUCCCUUGACAUGCAAUUCUCUUUUUGGAGGUUUUUUCGAGCUUGACAUUGUUAUUCACUGAGACAGUGAGUUGAGGUAUUAAUUAAUGGCUAGUUUUGCUGCAGUGGUUCAGCAUGACUUUCUAAAAGGUGCAAGGUAAUUGAUUGUCUUUUCCCCUGCAGUUGAUUUUGCUUCCAAAUGACAAAUCAUACUGUUUGCUGGACGGUCUGUUAAUUGGUCAUGUGAUGAUGGUGGUGGUGAUGACAGAUGAUAAUGUAGUGCCUCACUGUCUAAUAGGAUUCCACCUUUUAAUAUCUAGAGUUGUUUAUUCCUCAGUUACAGGUGGGUGAAAAUAAAAAUGGACUCAUUGGUAGGUAUCCCAUGACUUUGGCUGAGUUCAGAGGCAAAGUGAAAAAGCCACUCUGGACUGAGAAACCACCUGAGUAAUCAAGAUGAGGCCCCAAUCCACUUGUCAUACUGUGUCAGUUAGAGAUUCUUUUUCUUUUAUUUUUUCUUUCCUUUUUGAGAUGGAGUCUCACUCUGUCACCCAGGCUGGAGUACGGUGGCACAAUCUCGGCUCACUGCAACCCCGCCUACCG
This 804-nucleotide long non-coding RNA is filed under the name Homo sapiens (human). Its description in RNAcentral is "HSALNT0197501". The record is from RNAcentral. Lineage: Eukaryota; Metazoa; Chordata; Mammalia; Primates; Hominidae.